This 377-nucleotide unclassified non-coding RNA is filed under the name fungal sp. RNAcentral describes it as "partial internal transcribed spacer region". The stretch from base 1 to 46 matches the Rfam family "Eukaryotic small subunit ribosomal RNA", at positions 1786 to 1831 of the family's 1831-position model. Lineage: Eukaryota; Fungi. The record is from RNAcentral.
AAGUCGUAACAAGGUUUCCGUAGGUGAACCUGCGGAAGGAUCAUUAAACAAAAUAUGCGCCGUUGUAGCGUCUGAAACAAUCGUAUCCGUUAGGAUGCGAUUGAUUCAGACCUACUAGGUGCAUCAACCAAGCAUUGUGCAUGAGUGAUCGUAAGAUCAUUCAUGCAUGAUGCCUGAAUUGAUGCUAUUGAUAAAUACACUAUCCUUACGGAUACUGUAUUUAUCAUGACACAACUGUGAUGAAGAUCACAUAGUGCACUCCUAGCGUCUUCGACACUAGUAGCGCACAUUGUGAUCUUCAUGCAGAUACACGAUUAAAAAUUGACAAAAAAGACAACCAAAAAAAUUCACUUUUAACAAUGGAUCUCUUGGCUCUU